CACUAACCCUGUAUCUAUCCUUCGUAUCUGAUAUUAAUCUCAAAUGUUAUUGUACCUUGAUGGCUAGCUUGGCAGAGUUGAUCAUGGGCUCCAAGUUUGAAUCAUCGAUCCAUCCAUCCUUCGCAUGGUGCAAAAUUUCCUCUGGCAAGAUCCGAGCCAGUUUGUUUUUGAAUAAUGGGGAGUAGGAGGCACAUUUGCUGUUUUCCCACGGAGUACUCCGUAGCUACUUAUAUUGGUCCUUUUAUUCAGCACACUGCUGACCCGGGUGCCUAGGUACCUGGACGGCGGAAGCGAGUUGGAGGACGGAGACGUGCGUAUCUCAGGGAGGCUGGUGCCUGCGCGUAGUUCCCUCUCACACGGCGAGCUGGCCAGAACGAAUAUUCUGUUUCAUUUCCAUGGAAGAAUGCCGUCACCGAUAUGAUCUUCUUCUCGGGGAAAGCUGAAAAGAAAAGAUUUGUGAACAUUUCCGGGGCUGUGAGAUUUUACGAGGACUACACAGAAUAAUUUCGUGCUGAUGGCUGGCUGGCUGGCUGGCUGGCUGACUGACUGAUUUUGUUGCUUGGUGUUUGUAUUUUUACAAAUCAAGGCUCGUGAUGCUCGAGUCAGGGAUGAAUUUAGAUAUCAAGAGUAGCACAGAUGGGUUUAGUACGCAGUAGGUCAGUUUCUUAUUUUUAGAUGCCCGCGCCAUGCAGAAAUGAGAGAGAAAACACGAGGGUGAUCGAGGUUCUGUUCGAAGAAAGGGUGACUUUUUUUUUUCUUUUUCAAACCCUUUUGCUCCCUCAUUUUUCGUUCUCCUCAACUCCAGAAGUAAACAAAUGAGUC
Molecule: small RNA, 822 nt
Filed under: Histoplasma capsulatum var. duboisii H88
Lineage: Eukaryota; Fungi; Ascomycota; Eurotiomycetes; Onygenales; Ajellomycetaceae
Description: Histoplasma capsulatum H88 hypothetical RNA
Source: RNAcentral